RNAcentral lists this ribosomal RNA (480 nucleotides) under uncultured bacterium. Its description in RNAcentral is "partial 16S ribosomal RNA". It matches the Rfam family "Bacterial small subunit ribosomal RNA", at positions 28 to 507 of the family's 1533-position model. The record is from RNAcentral.
GAUGAACGCUGGCGGCGUGCUUAACACAUGCAAGUCGAACGGAACUACUCCAAUGAGAGUCUUCGGUAAGGAUUUGGUUUAGUUUAGUGGCGGACGGGUGAGUAACGCGUGGGUAACCUGCCCUAUACAGGGGGAUAACAGUUGGAAACGACUGUUAAUACCGCAUAAGCGCACAGGAGCGCAUGCUCCGGUGUGAAAAACUCCGGGGGUAUAGGAUGGACCCGCGUCUGAUUAGCUGGUGGGCGGGGUAACGGCCCACCAAGGCGACGAUCAGUAGCCGGCCUGGUAGGGGGAACGGCCACGUCGGAGCUGCGACACGGCCCAAACUCCUACGGAAGGGAGCAGUGGGGAAUAUUGCACGAUGGGGGAAACCCUGAUGCAGCGACGCCGCGUGAGCGAAGAAGUAUCUCGGUAUGUAAAGCUCUAUCAGAAGGGAAGAAAAUGACGGUACCUGACUAAGAAGCCCCGGCUAACUACGUG